This 819-nucleotide long non-coding RNA is filed under the name Equus caballus (horse). RNAcentral describes it as "lncRNA (ENSECAG00000050637.1)". The record is from RNAcentral. Lineage: Eukaryota; Metazoa; Chordata; Mammalia; Perissodactyla; Equidae.
GCCAGUUCGGGCAGGGUGUUUUAAGAAAGCCAGUGACUGGCUAGCCAGGGCUUGGCAUGAGGGGAUGCUUCUCAAGGAGCUAGUUUUCACUUGUACCAUAAUAUAUAGAAGGGUUUGUUCAUUUAUUCCCUUACUCACCCUUUCGGAGGAGUUGCAAGCUUAAAUUCCAGCAGGGAAUGGAUGUAAUAUAUGAAGCGUGGUGAAUGACGAGAGGGAGAAAAGAUUGGAUUGAGACUCAAGCUUACUUGGUACAUCGGUCAAGAAGCAGCAACCCCUCAUGUUAGACAAGGAGAACACCAAGCCCUGGCUGUGAGUGCCAGCAAAUGAGCUCAUAGCAACCCCAAGGCCAAAGUGAUAAGUCCCAGGUGGGUUAGAUAUUCGGCACUGUGUGGGGAAGACCUGUCUGGUAUCCUGCUUGACUUUCCAGUGUCCUGUCAGACCUUCACGUGGUCCUCUGUGCUUCUGCCAUUUGCUGUGAGAAAAACAUGCCUCAAGUGGCCACUGCUCUCUGGAGAAUGGGGAGACGCUUGGAACAGAUCUGAGCCCACCCUGGAGCCUGGAGCCCAGCUCAUGGAGUCCCAGAUGAGCUCAGCAGAACCACAGACUCUGUCAAUGGCUGGUCUGUAAGGUCCAGGAGGGUAGACACCUUGUCUUCUUGCUUCAUCACUGCGCAUCCAGCAUCUGGCACAAUACCUGGCACAUUGGACAUGGACUGUGAACAGUAUCUUCAAACUGACCUCUUGGAAAAAUCCCACAGCUUCCAAGUCACAACAUCUUCCAAGUGUCAGCACAUCCGCAUAACGAACGACACGGAAUCAC